GUAACCUACCUUUAACAGGGGGAUAACACUGAGAAAUUGGUACUAAUUCCCCAUAAUAUUCGGAGAGGCAUCUCUCCGGGUUGAAAACUCCGAUGGUUAUAGAUGGGCAUGCGUUGUAUUAGCUAGUUGGUGAGGUAACGGCUCACCAAGGCAACGAUACAUAGGGGGACUGAGAGGUUAACCC
RNAcentral lists this ribosomal RNA (184 nucleotides) under uncultured Bacteroidota bacterium. RNAcentral's name for it is "uncultured Bacteroidetes bacterium partial 16S ribosomal RNA". It matches the Rfam family "Bacterial small subunit ribosomal RNA", at positions 121 to 306 of the family's 1533-position model. Lineage: Bacteria; Pseudomonadati; Bacteroidota. The record is from RNAcentral.